UUCCUAUGCACAAACCUCUUUGCGUGAACUCAGUCCGCGAAGAGGAGGGGCAUGGGAGAG
RNAcentral lists this microRNA precursor (60 nucleotides) under Petromyzon marinus (sea lamprey). RNAcentral describes it as "Pma-Mir-202-P5_pre stem-loop". The record is from RNAcentral. Lineage: Eukaryota; Metazoa; Chordata; Hyperoartia; Petromyzontiformes; Petromyzontidae.